UACGAGGGGUGCAAGCGUUGCUCGGAUUCAUUGGGCGUAAAGGGUGCGUAGGCGGCGCGGUAAGUCGGGUGUGAAAUCUUGGAGCUUAACUCCGAAACUGCAUUCGAUACUGCCGUGCUUGAGGACUGGAGAGGAGACUGGAAUUUACGGUGUAGCGGUGAAAUGCGUAGAUAUCGUAAGGAAGACCAGUGGCGAAGGCGGGUCUCUGGACAGUUCCUGACGCUGAGGCACGAAGGCCAGGGGAGCAAACGGG
This 253-nucleotide ribosomal RNA is filed under the name uncultured bacterium. RNAcentral's name for it is "partial 16S ribosomal RNA". It matches the Rfam family "Bacterial small subunit ribosomal RNA", at positions 524 to 776 of the family's 1533-position model. The record is from RNAcentral.